GUUCUCGCCUCGGGGUUACCUGGGGAGCUCCGCUGCUCCCUCUACCUGUGACAGGUCCCCUCCUUUCCCCUGGCCCGGCUCGGUUGACGCCCAGCCAUUUAAAGCAACAGUGCAUAAUUCUCGGGUGACCUAAUCUUCAGUGCCCCAGCGCACUUAACUACCAAGGGGGCAAUUUAAAGGGGCGGGACCCCAACCACCACCUCCCUUGCCUUACAGGAAACAUCCAGAAGCCUCAUCUUAAAGAAGAAAUAGUAACUCUCUUAAAAAAAAAAAAAAGAAAGAAAGAAAAAAAAAAAACCUUUUAAAAUCCCUGGUGUCCUCUGGGCGUGGCGAAUUUUUAAGUGCUUCACAACAAGAUUGUGCGCACCCUUGCUUCUGAACACUGACCCGUCAGACUUCCUGUCCAGCAUCCUGUCACUUCCAAGUCCUCCCUGGCUCUACCUGGAGGUUGAGGAAAUGACGGCGUCUGGCUUGGACUUCAAAGCCUUGUAGAAAAGAAACACAGGUUCUUCACAAGCUAGGAUCUAGUUUACAGAACAAAGCCCCUGUUCUGGGUGUUUGUGGGAGAGUCUAGGAGAGGCAACAAGUGAGCGCGUUAGAAACAUCUAUCUUGGAGUCAUACUGUCUUGGCUCAAAUCCUUCCACUAUUUAUGAAGAGCAGAGCACAUUUCUUAACUCUCCUGCCUCUUGGGUAAAAUGAAGGUGGUGAGCACAGUACUUGUGAAUUUGGAGUGAGUUUAGUUCCCAGUAGAUGAGUACAGGGCCUCAUGUUGCACUGUAAUGACUCAUGGGCUGCUCAAACUGAAAAAAAAAAAAGAGCCCCUUUAGUGGGGGUGAGUCCAGACAAGGCUCAAGGGGGAUAAGUUCAAUAGGACUGUACUGCAAAGAGCUUGGAGACUUAAAUGGACCUCCUUAAACAGGAAGCUAGCAGCCUCCUAUUCCCUUGGCCUCCCUUUUCAAUCCUACUCGGGCCCCUCCUUCCAGAGCCCGAUUUAUACAGUAUCACACAUGGUCCCCAAAUGUUGCUCUUUAGUUUCCCUAGUAGUAUGGGGGGUGGGGCUGCCAGUACUCCUGAGCAGGCUGGUUUGCCCCCAAUACUUCAGGGAAAGCAUCUGUCCUUCCCCAAGCACUUGGAGAAUACAGCCUUGUUCGGGCUUGGAAGCUCUGGUGGGAGCAGUAUGGGAAAGUGCCCUGCCUGUGGGGAACCUCCCUCACUGUGGCCUCUAUUUUUAGUGCUUCCCCAGGCUCUAGCUGGAGAAACCGUUUAGUCAUCAGGGUGUUUAUUUUCCGGCUGUUUCCGACGUCGGGAAAAGCAGAAUGUUGAGACUGGAGAGAUUCUGGGCUGCUGUAAAAGACUUCUUAGGAACAGGCCUGGGAACACUGCCUUCAGACCACUGGGUCCCAGCUCAUAGGAAAACAAAACAGGAUGGGCCCGGGACAGCUAAGCCCUCAGGAGUUUUCAACCUGCCUCAACCUUGGAGGCUAUCCAAGCUAGAGAACCCUCUGGCCCAGCUCUAUCUGAGGAUUGUUUCUCAAAACACAACCAAGCCCAGAAGAAAUUCUUUCCCAGAAUCCCCUCCCCAACCUCUCCUAGAUCUGCCUGGUGAGCCUCCCGCCAACCACAGCCCUAGCCAAUCUCAAACCUGAGGCGGGCCUUCCAGAGCUUUGAUUGGUUGGCUGGGCCUUCUAGACCUGGAAUGUUGAGUCCUUAACAAAGGAAUGAGGAAGGAAGGUGAGUCACCUGGGGAAGGUAUUAAAGGACUAGCUAGAAGGAAAAGGAAGGGGGAAGAGCUCCGGGGAGGUGGGGGCCCUGGACGCUAACGUGCUGACGAGACAGCUCACACGAGACCGGACAAGUGGGACAAAAAUCCAGAGUCUGAAAACAUGUUGGAGCAGAAGCGAAGAGGUGACAACGUGAGGUCCUGAUUUCCACAGAGGACCGAAAAGGGCCAAGUUUUUGGAUGAUGCCAGCAAAGACCCUCCAAUCUCUCCCCGCAUCUGCCACUACGCUUGCGAACCGGACCCUCAGCAGGUGGGCGUGUGUAUUCUCAGCGCGAAGGUGGGACGCUGCUUCCACCUUCGCGCCUGUCUCCUCCGGACGCACUGGCUUGCUGGUUUGGGUUCUAAAGGUACUUUUCCUCACCAGCAUCUGAGUUCCUGCGGGGAUGCAGAGCUGGCGUGGAACGCGCUCAGCAAAUGUAUAUGCGCAGCUGUGUGAGUUGGGAUUGUGCAAACUCUAUUGAACACCUUAUUUCGGCAUCGAUAAUCGUGUUAGCCAAGGACAGGGGUCGAGUCUGGGGCCCUACGACUCCGCUUCAGGGCAGAGUUGGGGUGAGGGAUGGAUAGCGGAGUCCGCCGGACGCAAGGCCGGUGUGGCACAGUGGUGCCCUACGCUGAGAGCCAGGGUGCCUCGGACCAGACGCGGGGACGAGAGCAGAGGCCCCUGGAGCUGAGAGGCAGAGGUGCUAGAGUGGGUCCCGAGUCCGUGUACCCCCCACAGGAGCUCCCUGCCCCCGGCUGGGCAGGAUGUGGUGGCAGCUGCAGUUGGGUGGGCAGGAUGUGGGGGUGGGGGCAGACGAGCGCAGCCCGACAGUAGUCUCCCCCAGCUCUUGCCUCCACCCCCUCCGGGUCACGUGCUCUCAGCUUGGGCAUCGACGGACUAUUUCCCAUUUUCCGCGGAAGGACAUCUGAAACCCGUUGUCAUGAACUCAAGUUGUACCACGCCAUUUUCUUGCCCCCAUCUCCAGCCUAGGACAAAAAGUUUGCCCAGCACAAAUUUCUUUAAAGCGAGGAUUAACUCGGAAGAGGCCCCUUUAAAUGCAAAUGACUCGCCUUCUUGCUCCGCUCCUCCCAACCCCCAUCCCAACUUCUCUCCUCGUGCCCAAACUCCAGCAGCUGCUAUUGACGUCAAUCGUGCGUCAGCAUAGCCAGCCCAACCAGACAGCACGUGGGGGGAAGAAGGCGAUCUUAAAGCGACAGUCGCUCAGGGCCUGUUAGGUUGCCGGAGAAAGGAAAAGUCAAGUGGAAUGUUGGAAACAGUUGGAGCAGGAAGAAAUGCAGGGGAGACUUUCAGAAGGACCGCAUAAGGCCAGCGAAGUGGCUCAGGGGAUUAAAGGUGCUGUGCAAGCCCGAGAAUCAGCUCCCCAAAAUUAUCCUUUGACCUUCACAUACAUCAUUUUCUUCCUUCCCCAAACGUACAGUACUAAUAAAUCUGUUUUAAAAAGACUUCUCAGAAUAGGCUGGCACUGAACUAAAUAAGAAGCUGAGGAUGACCUUGAACUUCAGUUUCUCCUGCUUCCCAAGCGUGUUAGGAUUACAGCACUAUGCCCAAUCCUCCUCUCAGUUGCCUUUAAUAAGCAGCUAGACUCCACUGGUCAAGGUACUCGGACCCAGCAGGCUGGAACCUCAGCAGGUUUGUUGUGACAAUGAGCUCCCACAUGUGGCACCUGCUAGCUGCCAGUCUUCUGCCAUUCAUCCUGGUAUGGCCCCACCUCCUGCAGCCCCCUCUUCUAAGAGGAGAUGGAAGCUGAAAUCCUGGUCUUAUAUGCUCCAGACCUAAGCCAGGGCUGACUGCUGAGGGGGGUACACGAAGCUCUGAGAAAGCCUCUUGUUUAGAGAAAGAGUUGGAGACAAAAAGGGUGUAAGUGUUUUUUCUCUUCAUCCUUGCUUUAUGCCACCACACUGCUCACUAGGGCUUGGAGGCUCUCGGACAAGGAAACUUGAAGAUCAUAGAGGCCAAUGAGUACACCCAUGCCCAUCCAGCAACAAGUGGCUGUGGAGCCAGAUGGCCCCUCAUGCCUAGGAUCCCAGCUUUCCCAAGGCUGAGGCAGGAGGACUGCUGAGAAGCCAAAGCUAGUGAGACUGUGUCUCAGAAAACAAAAGGAAAACCCAGAAAGUAGCUGUGGGAUUCCAGUUCCGUACUGCAUGUGAGCAGACAGGAGUGAUAGGGACAGGGAAAAACCAGCUGGGACCUUAUCACUGCUGAGGAAGACAGCCAGCACCCCAUGAUCAUAGUGACAUAUCCAGAGAUGGUGGGGGGCAAGUACUGAGUUUAACAAGUCUUUCUCGAUGGGCGUUGGUGGGGCACGCCUUUAAUCCCAGCACUCGGGAGAGGCCAGCCUGGUCUCCAGAGCAAGUGCCAGGAUAGGCUCCAAAGCUACACAGAGAAACCCUGUCUUGAAAAACAACAACAAAAACAAACAAACAAAAAACAAACAAACAGCUCCCACCAGCUCCCUAAUAAUGACAUGGAGACUUCUUAUUAAUUAUGAAAGCCCGGUCUAUAGCUUAGGCUUGUUUUUAACAAGUUCUUAAAACUUAAAUUACAUUAGCCCAUCUGUAUUGAUCUACAUUCUAUCACAUGACUCAUGGUUGUCACCUCUCUUCCCGCACAUCCUGCUUGCUCUGUGUCUCUAUCUUUCCCUUCCCAGAGUCCUCUGUGUUCCCAGAAGUCCCACCUGUACCUCCUGUCUAGGUAUUGACCAUUUAGCUCUUUAUUACACCAAUCAUAGCAAUACCUCUUCACACAGUGUACAAAUACCCCGUAUCACUGAAGCAUACUUAGAACGAGACCUUACAAGCACAUGGUGAAGGUGUCACCAAGAAAAAACAAAAAAGAAGGGCGGAAUGAUUGCUGCUCUUCCAGAGGACUGGAAUAAUUCAGUUCCCAGUAGCCAGGUCAUAUGUGGUGGUUUGAAUGAGAACUGUCUCUAUAGGUUCAUAUAUUUGAACGCUUGGUCCCCAGCUGGUGGAACUGUUUGGGAAGGAUUAGGAGGUGUGGCCUUGUUGGAGGAGGUGUGUCACUGGGGGUGGGCUUUGAGGUUUCAAAAGCCCACAGCAUUCCCAGUUAGGACUCUCUCUCUGCCUGGUACUUGUGGAUCAAGAUAUAAGCUCUCAGUUACUGCCCCAGCACCAUGCCUGCCUGUUGGCUGCAAUACUGCCUGACAUGAUGGUCAUGGACACACUCUCUGAAACUGUAAGCCCAAUAAACUCUUUCUUCUCUACGUUUCCUUGGUCAUGGUGUCUUCACAACAAUAGAAAGGUAAGAUAUUGGGGCUGGAGAGAUGGCUCAGAGGUUAAGAGCACUGGCUGAUCUUCCAGAGGUCCUGAGUUCAAGUCCCAGCAAACAGAUCUGGUGCCCUCUUCUGGCAUAUAGGCAUAUAUACAGACAGAACACUG
This 5178-nucleotide long non-coding RNA is filed under the name Cricetulus griseus (Chinese hamster). RNAcentral's name for it is "lncRNA (ENSCGRG00015030476.1)". The record is from RNAcentral. Lineage: Eukaryota; Metazoa; Chordata; Mammalia; Rodentia; Cricetidae.